GUCCCCUUCGUCCAGCGGUCAGGACACCGCCCUUUCACGGCGGGAACAGGGGUUCGAAUCCCCUAGGGGACGCCA
Molecule: transfer RNA, 75 nt
Filed under: Pseudomonadales bacterium
Lineage: Bacteria; Pseudomonadati; Pseudomonadota; Gammaproteobacteria; Pseudomonadales
Description: tRNA-Glu
Rfam family: tRNA
About the family: Transfer RNA (tRNA) molecules are approximately 80 nucleotides in length. Their secondary structure includes four short double-helical elements and three loops (D, anti-codon, and T loops). Further hydrogen bonds mediate the characteristic L-shaped molecular structure. tRNAs have two regions of fundamental functional importance: the anti-codon, which is responsible for specific mRNA codon recognition, and the 3' end, to which the tRNAs corresponding amino acid is attached (by aminoacyl-tRNA synthetases). tRNAs cope with the degeneracy of the genetic code in two manners: having more than one tRNA (with a specific anti-codon) for a particular amino acid; and 'wobble' base-pairing, i.e. permitting non-standard base-pairing at the 3rd anti-codon position.
Source: RNAcentral